RNAcentral lists this ribosomal RNA (483 nucleotides) under uncultured bacterium. RNAcentral's name for it is "partial 16S ribosomal RNA". It matches the Rfam family "Bacterial small subunit ribosomal RNA", at positions 28 to 523 of the family's 1533-position model. The record is from RNAcentral.
GACGAACGCUGGCGGCGUGCUUAACACAUGCAAGUCGAACGAUGAAGCCGGAGCUUGCUCCGGUGGAUUAGUGGCGAACGGGGGAGUAACACGUGAGCAAUCUGCCCUUGACUAUGGGAGAAAUGCGGGAAACUGUAGCUAAUACCGGAUACGACACCUUGGGGCAUCCCAGGGUGUGGAAAGAAUUUCGGUCAAGGAUGAGCUCGCGGCCUAUCAGCUAGUUGGUGAGGUAAUGGCUCACCAAGGCGACGACGGGUAGCCGGCCUGAGAGGGUGACCGGCCACACUGGAACUGAGACACGGUCCAGACUCCUACGGGAGGCAGCAGUGGGGAAUAUUGCACAAUGGGCGAAAGCCUGAUGCAGCAACGCCGCGUGAGGGAUGAAGGCCUUCGGGUUGUAAACCUCUUUUAGCAGGGAAGAAGCGAAAGUGACGGUACCUGCAGAAAAAGCACCGGCUAACUACGUGCCAGCAGCCGCCGUAA